RNAcentral lists this ribosomal RNA (787 nucleotides) under Staphylococcus sp. KSUM_19. RNAcentral describes it as "bacterial SSU rRNA". It matches the Rfam family "Bacterial small subunit ribosomal RNA", at positions 49 to 816 of the family's 1533-position model. Lineage: Bacteria; Bacillati; Bacillota; Bacilli; Caryophanales; Staphylococcaceae. The record is from RNAcentral.
UAAUACAUGCAAGUCGAGCGAACAGACAAGGAGCUUGCUCCUUUGACGUUAGCGGCGGACGGGUGAGUAACACGUGGGUAACCUACCUAUAAGACUGGGAUAACUUCGGGAAACCGGAGCUAAUACCGGAUAAUAUUUCGAACCGCAUGGUUCGAUAGUGAAAGAUGGUUUUGCUAUCACUUAUAGAUGGACCCGCGCCGUAUUAGCUAGUUGGUAAGGUAACGGCUUACCAAGGCGACGAUACGUAGCCGACCUGAGAGGGUGAUCGGCCACACUGGAACUGAGACACGGUCCAGACUCCUACGGGAGGCAGCAGUAGGGAAUCUUCCGCAAUGGGCGAAAGCCUGACGGAGCAACGCCGCGUGAGUGAUGAAGGGUCUUCGGAUCGUAAAACUCUGUUAUUAGGGAAGAACAUACGUGUAAGUAACUAUGCACGUCUUGACGGUACCUAAUCAGAAAGCCACGGCUAACUACGUGCCAGCAGCCGCGGGUAAUACGUAGGUGGCAAGCGUUAUCCGGAAUUAUUGGGCGUAAAGCGCGCGUAGGCGGUUUAAGUCUGAUGUGAAAGCCCACGGCUCAACCGUGGAGGGUCAUUGGAAACUGGAAAACUUGAGUGCAGAAGAGGAAAGUGGAAUUCCAUGUGUAGCGGUGAAAUGCGCAGAGAUAUGGAGGAACACCAGUGGCGAAGGCGACUUUCUGGUCUGUAACUGACGCUGAUGUGCGAAAAGCGUGGGGAUCAAACAGGGAUUAGAUACCCUGGUAGUCCACGCCGUAAACGAUUAAGUGC